This 218-nucleotide unclassified non-coding RNA is filed under the name Phaeosphaeria podocarpi. Its description in RNAcentral is "partial internal transcribed spacer region". The stretch from base 1 to 46 matches the Rfam family "Eukaryotic small subunit ribosomal RNA", at positions 1786 to 1831 of the family's 1831-position model. The record is from RNAcentral. Lineage: Eukaryota; Fungi; Ascomycota; Dothideomycetes; Pleosporales; Phaeosphaeriaceae. RNAcentral also lists the same sequence under 1 other name.
AAGUCGUAACAAGGUUUCCGUAGGUGAACCUGCGGAAGGAUCAUUACAUUCAGUAGCCUAGCUACUUGUUUACACCCUUGUUUUUUUGCGCACUUCACUGUAUCCCUCGGCGGGCUUGCUCGCCGGUUGGACAACAUUUAUAACCUUUUUUAAUCUUCAAUCAGCGUCUGAAUUAUAUUUAAUAAUUACAACUUUCAACAACGGAUCUCUUGGUUCUG